RNAcentral lists this ribosomal RNA (1176 nucleotides) under Mucilaginibacter sp. juv998. RNAcentral's name for it is "bacterial SSU rRNA". It matches the Rfam family "Bacterial small subunit ribosomal RNA", at positions 157 to 1337 of the family's 1533-position model. The record is from RNAcentral. Lineage: Bacteria; Pseudomonadati; Bacteroidota; Sphingobacteriia; Sphingobacteriales; Sphingobacteriaceae.
CAGAGAUUAAGACCGCAUAAUAUAUUGAAGUGGCAUCGCUUUAAUAUCAAAUAUUUAUAGGAUCAAGAUGGGCAUGCGGAACAUUAGCUAGUUGGUAAGGUAACGGCUUACCAAGGCUACGAUGUUUAGGGGAUCUGAGAGGAUGACCCCCCACACUGGUACUGAGACACGGACCAGACUCCUACGGGAGGCAGCAGUAAGGAAUAUUGGUCAAUGGGCGGAAGCCUGAACCAGCCAUGCCGCGUGCAGGAAGACGGCCCUACGGGUUGUAAACUGCUUUUGUACGGGAAUAAACCUACUUAUGUAUAAGUAGCUGAAUGUACUGUAAGAAUAAGGAUCGGCUAACUCCGUGCCAGCAGCCGCGGUAAUACGGAGGAUCCAAGCGUUAUCCGGAUUUAUUGGGUUUAAAGGGUGCGUAGGCGGCCUGUUAAGUCAGGGGUGAAAGACGGUAGCUCAACUAUCGCAGUGCCCUUGAUACUGAUGGGCUUGAAUGUACUUGAGGUAGGCGGAAUGUGACAAGUAGCGGUGAAAUGCAUAGAUAUGUCACAGAACACCAAUUGCGAAGGCAGCUUACUAAAGUAUGAUUGACGCUGAGGCACGAAAGCGUGGGGAUCAAACAGGAUUAGAUACCCUGGUAGUCCACGCCCUAAACGAUGAACACUCGAUGUUGGCGAUAUACGGUCAGCGUCUAAGCGAAAGCGUUAAGUGUUCCACCUGGGGAGUACGCCCGCAAGGGUGAAACUCAAAGGAAUUGACGGGGGCCCGCACAAGCGGAGGAGCAUGUGGUUUAAUUCGAUGAUACGCGAGGAACCUUACCCGGGCUUGAAAGUUAGUGAAUGUGACAGAGACGUCACAGUCCUUCGGGACACGAAACUAGGUGCUGCAUGGCUGUCGUCAGCUCGUGCCGUGAGGUGUUGGGUUAAGUCCCGCAACGAGCGCAACCCCUAUGUUUAGUUGCCAGCAUUUAAGGUGGGGACUCUAAACAGACUGCCUAUGCAAAUAGAGAGGAAGGAGGGGACGACGUCAAGUCAUCAUGGCCCUUACGUCCGGGGCUACACACGUGCUACAAUGGGCAGUACAGAGGGCCGCUACCUGGCAACAGGAUGCCAAUCUCUUAAAGCUGUUCACAGUUCGGAUCGGGGUCUGCAACUCGACCCCGUGAAGUUGGAUUCGCUA